AGCUCGUCUGAGCUAUAUCGCUCUGAUCGUCACUCACGGGUGGUGGGUCGGACGCCAGGCAAGCCUCGUGUUCCCGGCACGCCUAGCCCAGUUGCAUGGCUGCCUCGGCGCAUGAGGCUCUUCGCCCGUGCUCUCGGAUUCGGAAUGUUAUGUGCUGCGGGUGGGUGGCUCAUCGGAGGCACUCCAUCCGGUCAAGCGAGGCAUUUUGUCCAACGAGACGAACGACUGCCGGACCCGUCUUUAUGUCCGCGCCCCCCGCCCCGGCCGGGCUCAUG
Molecule: unclassified non-coding RNA, 275 nt
Filed under: Canarium nitidifolium
Lineage: Eukaryota; Viridiplantae; Streptophyta; Magnoliopsida; Sapindales; Burseraceae
Description: Canarium ntidifolium partial external transcribed spacer
Source: RNAcentral